CAAGACGAAGAUUAGGCUUCUUAGUGUAGCUUCCAAGGUAUUUCAUAAUCUGAUUACAUCCUGUGCUGCCAGCUCCAUCUCUAAUCAACACCUGCCACCUGUUCCUAGACUGCCUUGCCUUCUCCCAAACCUGCCUUGCUCUUCACACCUCCAUGCCUUUGCCCAGGGAAUCCCCUCUGCCUCAACUGUCCUCUCAGCUCUACUCCCCUUCCCUGAUUUUGCCAAAGGUAAAACCUCAUUCACUCUUUUAGACCCAGUGAAAAUGUUAUACCCUCUCUAUCCCCAGGAACCACGUAGAAUGAACCACUUCUUCCUGUGUCUUCCACGGUGUUUUGUGCUCAUCUCUGUUAACCCACUUAGCACUUACCGUCAACAUGUUUAAUUGCAGGUGUUUACUUAGCACUUUACUGUCACAUGUUUGGUUUCAGACUGUGCCUGGCACUAUGCCUGGUACAGGCUAACUCUCAAAUCUUCCCUAAACUUAGUUCAAUUGAAUCCUACCACACUGUAGUCCUUUAGUGCUUAUCAUUCAUUCAUUCAUUUUUGGACACUCACUAUGUGUCAGGCAUUAAACAGGCCAUGUGCUCUCUCAUGGGGCAGAAGUUCUAUUGGGGGAGAUGGAUAAUAAAGCCAAUUCUGAGGUGAGAAAUGGACUUUGUAGUCUUCCUGACCAUUAGCUGCCUCAUCUCUGCUUGAACUCUCUCUGUGAUGAGAAACUCACUUUCUGAAGAAAUCGAAUCCACUGCUGACAGACUCAGACUGUCCUUUGAUUGAGCUGCAAAAUCUCCCCCUGUACCGUCUACAAAUGGCUCCCAGGUCAGCUCCCUGCAGCCACUUAGAACAAGCCUGCUUGAUCUUCUUCAUGAUGAUGCUUCAUGGAUUUGAAGAUGGAACUCUUAGCACUCACUUCCUUCAAUUUGUUUGGUUUUGUGCAGAAGAGUCAUUUGGUGAAAUGAAGCAAGGCAAGAAAUUCUCCCAAUGGGGCCCUUGCAGCCAAGAAUCAAGUCACAAAGUAACACACAACAGAAGAGAUGAAAUAGAAAAAUUAGUCCACAGCAAAACAAGAGAACUGCUCAAGGAACUUGGAGCUGGCAAUCUCGCAAUGUGAAAGGUUAAUCACAAGAUUUAAAAUCUAAUCUUGCUUUCAAAGGCAGCUCAUGUAAUUGCAUACAUUGUGAAAGAACAUGAGAACAAGGAACAUGAGAACAGUGGGAACAGAAAAAAAAAUUAAACAAGCGGGCUUGAUAUAAGCUGUAAAUUUAACAUGAAGAAAUGUAAAAAGUUAGUGAGAGUAAGCACAGACCUCAGUAAAGGGUCAGGCAGGGACCUGGGACAGCAGAAAUCGC
This 1346-nucleotide long non-coding RNA is filed under the name Callithrix jacchus (white-tufted-ear marmoset). RNAcentral's name for it is "lncRNA (ENSCJAG00000060543.2)". Lineage: Eukaryota; Metazoa; Chordata; Mammalia; Primates; Cebidae. The record is from RNAcentral.